GUUCUUUGCAUUUUGGCUCCUUUUUUUUUUUCGCGGGAGGGCGUGCGUUGGGACCUGGGUCGCGCGUGUCGUGUGUGCCCGGGGCUGCUGCGGGGACGGCCACGCUGUGGCGUGGACGGGGUCAGGGCCUUUGUAAGGGUCUGGCACCCGCGCUCCGAGGCGAGCCUGAGUGCUCUCUGCGGGGCGGGCAGUGGCGACCGGAGAGGGUGGUGGCUCUUUGGGGGUUCUCGGGGGGUGGGAGAGGAAUACUCCCGCCGAAGCGAACUGGGGACACCAGAAGUAGUCCUCCUUUGUCUGCACCUGCGCCAUUUCUGUUGCCCACGUCGCAGGGCUCCGCCAUUUUGUCCAUUUCGGGGUGGGGGUGGCUUGUGACCUUGAGCUUUUCUUUCUGAGGUUUUCCACACCUGUGCUAGCUACACGUACUUUCCUUGGGAAAUCGUUCUUGUGUAUUCCUAUUUCACGUGGCUGGCGUUUUUGUGCAACGUAGAACAGAGACUAUGGGGCAGGUAGAGACAGAAUCUCAAGGGUUCCUGAGGAAGAAGUGCGAGUGGGGUCUCUAAGUGAAUUACUGGGUUGUGUUUGAGAACCAGAUAGGAGUAGUUUUAGGAGAAAGCAAAUGGGGCCUUUGUUCACUUUCAGGAAUCAUUCUGACACGGUCACUUAAAUAUCAGUUUCGUGAUCACUCAGAACAUCAGAGUUUUGUGUUAAACGUUAGUUCUGGGCUAACCGGACUUUUUUGGACAUCGUUUCCCUGACUCCCGAGGAAUACUACGCCCCUGCUAAGGAGAUCCAGCCCAGGAGCAGCUAGCUGAGUUUCUCUCCCCACCACAGCCCAGCAAGAAUCCUCUAGCUGAGUUUCACCGUUCAGUCAACCAUCUAGAAAACCGUUGACUUUAUCCUAAUAGUUGCCAUAUCACAAGUGGAAGGAUAUUCAUCCAUUCAUCAUUGGAGCGCGCCCCCUUUUGCCAUUGUCCCGUGUAUUCCUUUUUCGCGCUUUUUUUUUUUUUUUUUUUUACUUUUAAUUGUUAAAAUCCUCAAACAUGCAGGGAAACAGACAUGUUUGACAGAACAUUUCCCCAUGUUUACUUUUGUGUCCUUCACGGUUUGAAAGUAAAUUUCUUGGUUCAUCCAAAACAGUUAACACUGUGUCUCUAAAGUAACAUUUUUCUACUUAAUGACACUGCUGUUGUCGUCCUCAGUGAGAUAAUUCCUUAAUGAGGCCAUCUCCUAUCUGCUCUGUGUCCAUAGUUCCCGAGUCAUCUCCAAAAUGUCUUCCACGGUUGAUUUGUUCAAAAAUGGUCGUGUUUAAGGGUCUCUGGUCAUUGCUUACGCUGCUUGUAUUUUAGGUUUCUCUUUUCCUCUUCAUUUACCCCAACAGUUUCAAGGGAUUUGCAUCUUAGCUUUAAUUGUUUAGGGUCAGUAGCAGGUAUAGCCAAUGCUGGAAAUCUGCAAAACUAGGCAAGGGGGUUAGCAGGUUCUCUCCAUGUAAUGGGUUUGAGGACAGUCCCUUGUGGGGACUGGGGAGUGACACUGGGGAGGUGAGGGCAUUUUGAUGUCACCACAGGGAAGGCUGUGGGCAUUUGUACGUCCGAUGGAUUUUGUGUUUUCCAGUCUCUAAGCACUGUUAGCUUGCUUGGCCUCUGUCCCUGAAGGUGAGUGGCCUUGGGACCUGGUUGCAGAGGGACUGGAGCUCCCAUGAUGUCUAGCACUGGGCUCCGAUCACCCCUGAGGACACAGUGCCCUCCAGGACCUUUGACACCUGGGGGUCUGAGGGGCCCUGGUUUUGAUGUUCUUUGGACCCCCAGACUGUUUCUUCCCCUACCCUCACCAGAUCCUUCCUGUGUUACAGGUGUGUCUUCAAGCUGAGGGCCCACCCACCUUGGUAAGAACCCUUGCUCCCAGUCCCUCACCCACCCAGGUCUAAAAUAUCUCACCCUCACUUGGGGUGACUUCACAUCAGAUAUCUCUGGGACCUAAUUUUAUAUGCCAGCAAUCAUGCAGAUCCCAGCUCUGCUGUUCUUGGGCUUAGGGAUGUUACUCAAGUGCUUGGUCUCCUGAGCCUCAGUUUCUGUGUCUGUAGAGUGGGCACAGCACAUCAAAGGUGAGGGUUGAAUAUGAUGGGAUAUAUGGGCUGUAGAAGAGGGAAAUAUUUAGUCACUUUUUGGUGUCCGUCGGGAGUGGUUCCAGGGCCCCGUGGAUAUGGAGGGCCCAAUGUAUGUUUGGGGGUUUCCGGGAAAAGGACUAAUCAGAAAUCUAAUUUUCAAACUCGGCAGAAGAAAAGAAACAGAAGGGCUCGAAGCAUUAUCACUCACUGCAGGGCAGUGGGGGUGGUUUGUAGACUAAAUACAGUGUACCUUUCAGCAAAGAUUAGGCAGCUUCCCAUGCAUCAUGUAUAUGUAAACUGAUAGAGUUGUUAAGGUUACUCUCAAUUUAUACAAUACUUGUUGUCAGAGAACAUGGUAUAUCUGGAGAAUGUUUCCUAAAUGUUUCACAUUGGAGAAUGUUUCACAGAUGUUUCCGAGAGCUAAGUAAACCAUCAAAUGGGCAUGGGUGGUUCCCCCAGGAGUUCAGCAGCCCUCGCUCCCGUGGCCAUGGCGGGGCAGGGCGACCGCUACUACACACACGCCGGGCUCCUGGCCAUCGCCCGGCGCUUCCGGCAGAACCCCAACGAGCUCAUGAGCACCUGGAUCCUGCGGGUGUAUGACCAGGGCGGCCUGGCCCUGGCCCUGGAUUCCAGGGAGUUGGUGAUGCUGGGCGACCUGACCGGCAAUGCCCGUCUUCAGCUACUGCUGCAAGGCCCUGCGGGGUGAAGGCAAGACGCUGCUGGCCUGGCGCCAGCGCUGGGAGUCCUUCCUGCACUUGGAGGGCACCGAGCUGCCCUUCCGACCCUGGACCACCAUGGAGGAGGGCAUCCAGCUGGUGCGAGAGCUGGGCAUGCUCGACUGGAUCUACCGCGAGCCGCUGCCGCCGCUCCCCAAGCCCAAGCGGCUGGUGCCCAAGGACGUGCCCUUCACGCAGGGCCUGCAGCGGCGCCUGUGGGCGGCCGCACCCUCCGAGCUGCACUGGUCGGCCUGCUGGUCAAGGGCGUGACGGUGCUGGAGGCUGUGAUGGCAGACCGUUGCCGACGUGGGCCUGCUCUGGCACCAGAGCCAGCCGGGCCGCGCCAGGCUCAUGCUGGGGCCCAACCCGACGCGCAACGACCUCAUGGGCUGGCUGCUGAGCCACGGCAUGCCCAAGGAGCGGGUGGACAGGCAGCCCACCAAGGUCCUGGAGCUGUACAUCCAAGAGGCCAGGCGCAGCCACACCCGCGACGCGUGCCCUCCGUUCGGACCAAGCCUGUGGGGCGGAGCCACCCGUGCGCCACGACUAGGCCUCCCGGGGCAAGGAGGCAAGGAGCAGGACAUCGUAGGGGAGACGCAAAGCCUUGGUUGGCUCCAGCCGGUGUUCAAGGAGCCCCAAAGAGGGGUGUCCUUGCCCCCAGCCCACCCCGUGGGCGUCACCAGCCGGAGCUGGUGGAGAACAGGCAGCUGGCUGACAGCUGCUGUUGCUGGAUGCCAGACAGUGUGUUACGUUUCAGUCUGUUACACUUUGGCCUGAUGGGCAUGGUGGGUGGGCCCCCGCCGCUGUGUCACAUGGGCUUCUGAAGCACUACAGGCCAAGCGGGAGACCCCGCAGCCCACGCCAUGAAAGCACCUUGAAGCUUGUACCCUUUCUCUUAAGCCUUUUUUUAAUGCAAUAUUUUUACUUGUUAACUUCAUACAGCACUUGGGUUUUAUGGUUGCUCGUUUCCCCUUUUGCCAAGGUUUUUCUAUUAAGUUUGUUUUGCAAUGCCUUUCUCUUUUAAACUUGAA
Aethalodelphis obliquidens (Pacific white-sided dolphin) is the source of this 3851-nucleotide RNA transcript. RefSeq lists it as uncharacterized. NCBI's taxonomy places the organism in Eukaryota, Metazoa, Chordata, Mammalia, Artiodactyla, Delphinidae. The record is from RefSeq and is a predicted model, not a curated record. The transcript is spliced from 3 exons.